RNAcentral lists this microRNA precursor (77 nucleotides) under Alligator mississippiensis (American alligator). RNAcentral describes it as "mir-23 microRNA precursor family". It matches the Rfam family "mir-23 microRNA precursor family". Lineage: Eukaryota; Metazoa; Chordata; Crocodylia; Alligatoridae. The record is from Rfam by way of RNAcentral.
AGCCAGCUGGGGUUCCUGGUGAUGCGAUUUUUUUACCCACUGCCCAAAAUCACAUUGCCAGGGAUUUCCAACUGGCU